This 495-nucleotide ribosomal RNA is filed under the name uncultured bacterium. RNAcentral describes it as "partial 16S ribosomal RNA". It matches the Rfam family "Bacterial small subunit ribosomal RNA", at positions 28 to 507 of the family's 1533-position model. The record is from RNAcentral.
GACGAACGCUGGCGGCGUGCCUAAUACAUGCAAGUAGAACGCUGAAGGAGGAGCUUGCUCUUCUGGAUGAGUUGCGAACGGGUGAGUAACGCGUAGGUAACCUGCCUGGUAGCGGGGGAUAACUAUUGGAAACGAUAGCUAAUACCGCAUAAGAGUAGAUGUUGCAUGACAUUUACUUAAAAGGUGCAAUUGCAUCACUACCAGAUGGACCUGCGUUGUAUUAGCUAGUUGAUGGGGUAACGGCUUACCAAGGCGACGAUACAUAGCCGACCUGAGAGGGUGAUCGGCCACACUGGGACUGAGACACGGCCCAGACUCCUACGGGAGGCAGCAGUAGGGAAUCUUCGGCAAUGGACGGAAGUCUGACCGAGCAACGCCGCGUGAGUGAAGAAGGUUUUCGGAUCGUAAAGCUCUGUUGUAAGAGAAGAACGAGUGUGAGAGUGGAAAGUUCACACUGUGACGGUAUCUUACCAGAAAGGGACGGCUAACUACGUG